Ictalurus punctatus (channel catfish) is the source of this 423-nucleotide long non-coding RNA. Lineage: Eukaryota; Metazoa; Chordata; Actinopteri; Siluriformes; Ictaluridae. The record is from Ensembl.
GUGUGUGUGUCUGGUGCUCUAGCAGUUGUAGGUUGGGAGAUAGGUUGAGGAAGGGGCUAGAGGAUUAGGUGUGAGCUGAGAGGGGGGUGGGAGGACUAGGUUGGGUGUAAAAGAGAGGGUGAUGGGGUAGGUGAGUGGUUGUGAGCUCAGAAUGUGGUGGAGGAAUGUCAGGUGAAGGAGGGUGCACACCCUUCAGUAUAGACCAAGAAUGUGUGGGUGAGGGGUGUGCACUCAAGGGAGGAAGAGGUGGGCUGCAAGAGAGGAAGAGGUGGGCUGCAAGAGAGGAAGAGGUGGGCUGCAAGAGAGGAAGAGGUGGGCUAUCCCUCCUUUUUAUAAAAAUGCUGGCACCCUCCUAAAUGAAUAAGGACAGUACUGCUUUUCCAGCCCUCACUUUGUGUACCCACCUCUUCCUGAUACUUCACC